UCCCUGGCUGAUAAGGAUGGGAGAAUCUUACUUCCCGGCCCACGUUUUCAUCAGCUGGAGGACUGCUUGUAAACAGGAGGUUUGCAAACAAGGGCCCGGUGGGGAAGGAGAAGAGAGAAAAUGGAAAUUCGGUUGCAGAUAUGAAACUCCAGUAUUAUUCUCAUAAGCGGGCGGUUUACAGACAGUGACGCUACAGAGUGGCAAGGGUUGAACCUGAAGUCUUAAUUAUAAACUAGGUGACCCAGUUUCAGAUCCUAGCAGUCACAGAGUGGCUGACAACCAUCCUCAGCUCGUUUCAGGGAGAUCUGAUGUCCUCUUCUGUCCUCCAAGGACACCACGCACACAUACGGUGCAGGUAUGUACGCAAACAUGUAAGCAAAAAUUCAUACACAUAAAUGAGAUGAACAAAUUACCAUUCGGUUCUGCCAUCCUAUUUAUUAAGCGCCCACUUCGAGAAGCCAGAUCACUGAAGAAUUUGAGGAGGGGGAAAUUGAAUCUUCUUCAUCCAUCUGAAAGGAUUACCUUAAAGCCAGGCACGUGGAAACAUGCCUAUAACACAGCACUUCAAAGAUAGGAUCAGGAAUUCUAGGCCAGCCUGGGCUACAGGAGACCCUAUCUCAAAACAAAACAUGAUUAAAAAAAAAAAAAAAACACUUUAUCAACAGGACUCAAAUUAUCUAAAAACAGCACUUGUGUAUCAGUCCUACUGGAAUUCCUGGGUAAAUGUAUGUUUGUAAACCCUGGACUUCAAGUGGCUUCAGUAAGAACAGCUUGGAAAGUGUCUCUGUACAGACUUGAUUUCUAAUUGUGGUGAAGCUUCAUUCCUUAAACCGCCUAUUCAACAUUAACUCAUUCUCCAAACUUGCCUCUUCUAGGCUCUGGGGUAAAACAAGCACGACAGUUUCAAAUCAAAGGAGUGACGUAGCUCACCAAGGCAGCCCUGCUCUCAGUGAAGCCUCACAGGGCUUGCGGUAUAAGCUUCCGGUUCCCUCUACAGCCGCAUUGCCAUGUUUCAUUGCUAAGAGCUCUGCACCCUCCCUCUCUGCCUCCCUGACCUUUGCAUAAACUCCAGUUCUGGGCUCCUGAGAGUUCAGCUCUUUGUCUUCUCGGCUCCUCCCCUUGCUGCCUUAGCUUCCUACGAAGCUUACUUCUUUCUCCUCUGGUCAAAGAUCUCUGGAACCCACUACUCCCACAUCAGUUUAAUGGGUCAUCCUGUGAUUGGUCACUAUUUCUCUGUUCUUAGGUUCUUAUUCUGAGGGCAGGGUCUGACCGGUUUUGUAAGAUGCCUGGCACAUCGGAGGCCUUCCAGGAAUGAAAAACAAACGGAUGUGGCUGUCUAAACAGUUUUGUGGGAAGCGGAGCUCCAGUGGGUUGGUUAGGAGUUGGGGUUUUGAAAUAGGGUCUCAUGUAGACCUGUGUAGUCUCACCAAUUCCAAAUACAUUGGGGAAUGACCUUGAAUUCCUAAUCCUUCUGGUUUUGCCUCUCAAGUGCUGGAGUUACAUACCUGGGAUUCCACACCUGAUUUGGAUUAGGAGUUUUCUUGAAUUCCAGUGAUGUCAGGUCUCCUACCUUCUAUCUUGGCCCUCAAUGGCACUGAAACAUGGGGAGUUGUUCCAAGUGCCUAAGACUGUAAGCUUCCAGACAACAAAAAUACCAUUGAUUUACUGCUGUGGCCUUACUUAGAAUGAGAUAUACACAGAAUAACAGCCAUAACCCGUGUGCCUGAAUGCACUCUGGAGGGUGAACCGAGAUGGGGAGGGGGGGAUGCUACAAACACAGACAAUUGUCUAUAGUACAUUUCAAAGCUUGAGCUGACUUUUUUUUUUUUUUUUCUUUUUUUUCGGAGCUGGGGACCGAACCCAGGGCCUUGAGCUCGCUAGGCAAGCGCUCUACCGCUGAGCUAAAUCCCCAACCCUUGAGCUGACUCUUGAAGAGCACAUAAAGGCACCCUCAUCGAAGGAGGGAAUAGGGGAAGAGGAGAAGGAAGGGGAGAGGAGA
RNAcentral lists this small RNA (1999 nucleotides) under Rattus norvegicus (Norway rat). RNAcentral's name for it is "uncharacterized LOC102546610". Lineage: Eukaryota; Metazoa; Chordata; Mammalia; Rodentia; Muridae. The record is from RNAcentral.